RNAcentral lists this ribosomal RNA (484 nucleotides) under uncultured bacterium. RNAcentral's name for it is "partial 16S ribosomal RNA". It matches the Rfam family "Bacterial small subunit ribosomal RNA", at positions 30 to 507 of the family's 1533-position model. The record is from RNAcentral.
AUUGAACGCUGGCGGCAGGCCUAACACAUGCCAGUCGAGCGGAUGAAGGGAGCUUGCUCCUGGAUUCAGCGGCGGACGGGUGAGUAAUGCCUAGGAAUCUGCCUGGUAGUGGGGGUUAACGUCGGAAACCGGGGGCUAUUCCCGCAUAGGUCCUGAGGGAGAAAGGGGGGGACCUUCGGACCCCACGCUAUCAGAUGAGCCUAGGUCGGAUUAGCUAGUUGGUGGGGUAAAGGCCUACCAAGGCGACGAUCCGUAACUGGUCUGAGAGGAUGAUCAGUCACACUGGAACUGAGACACGGUCCAGACUCCUACGGGAGGCAGCAGUGGGGAAUAUUGGACAAUGGGCGAAAGCCUGAUCCAGCCAUGCCGCGUGUGUGAAGAAGGUCUUCGGAUUGUAAAGCACUUUAAGUUGGGAGGAAGGGCAGUAAGUUAAUACCUUGCUGUUUUGACGUUACCAACAGAAUAAGCACCGGCUAACUUCGUG